GGCUCAGGACGAACGCUGGCGGCGUGCCUAACACAUGCAAGUCGAGCGGGGACAUGCGACGGAUAGGAAGAUUCGGUUGGACUUGAAGAUGCAUUGUUCUAGCGGCGGACGGGUGAGUAACGCGUGAGCAACCUGUCCCUUACAGGGGGAUAACACAGCGAAAGUUGUACUAAUACCGCAUAAGACCACGGGAGGACAUCCUCCAGGGGUCAAAGGAGGAAUCCGGUAAGGGGUGGGCUCGCGUCCGAUUAGAUAGUUGGUGAGGUAACGGCCCACCAAGUCGACGAUCGGUAGCCGACCUGAGAGGGUGAUCGGCCACAUUGGGACUGAGACACGGCCCAAACUCCUACGGGAGGCAGCAGUGGGGAAUAUUGGGCAAUGGGGAAACCCUGACCCAGCAACGCCGCGUGAGGGAAGAAGGUUUUCGGAUCGUAAACCUCUGUCCUUGGUGAAGAGGAAGAGACGGUAGCCAAGGAGGAAGCCCCGGCUAACUACGUGCCAGCAGCUGC
RNAcentral lists this ribosomal RNA (509 nucleotides) under uncultured bacterium. RNAcentral describes it as "bacterial SSU rRNA". It matches the Rfam family "Bacterial small subunit ribosomal RNA", at positions 21 to 518 of the family's 1533-position model. The record is from RNAcentral.